This 372-nucleotide ribosomal RNA is filed under the name uncultured bacterium. RNAcentral's name for it is "bacterial SSU rRNA". It matches the Rfam family "Bacterial small subunit ribosomal RNA", at positions 524 to 898 of the family's 1533-position model. The record is from RNAcentral.
UACGGAGGGUGCAAGCGUUAUCCGGAUUCACUGGGUUUAAAGGGUGUGUAGGCGGGUAUUUAAGUCAGUGGUGAAAUCUCCGAGCUCAACUCGGAAACUGCCAUUGAUACUAUUUAUCUUGAAUAUUGUUGAGGUAGGCGGAAUAUGUCAUGUAGCGGUGAAAUGCUUAGAUAUGACAUAGAACACCGAUUGCGAAGGCAGCUUGCUAAACAAUUAUUGACGCUGAGGCACGAAAGCGUGGGGAUCAAACAGGAUUAGAUACCCUGGUAGUCCACGCCCUAAACGAUGAUUACUGGACAUUUGCGAUAUACAGUGAGUGUCUGAGCGAAAGCAUUAAGUAAUCCACCUGGGAAGUACGUCCGCAAGGAUGAA